RNAcentral lists this ribosomal RNA (492 nucleotides) under uncultured bacterium. RNAcentral's name for it is "partial 16S ribosomal RNA". It matches the Rfam family "Bacterial small subunit ribosomal RNA", at positions 29 to 507 of the family's 1533-position model. The record is from RNAcentral.
AGUGAACGCUGGCGGUAGGCCUAACACAUGCAAGUCGAACGGCAGCACAGUAAGAGCUUGCUCUUACGGGUGGCGAGUGGCGGACGGGUGAGGAAUACAUCGGAAUCUACUUUUUCGUGGGGGAUAACGUAGGGAAACUUACGCUAAUACCGCAUACGACCUACGGGUGAAAGCAGGGGAUCUUCGGACCUUGCGCGAUUGAAUGAGCCGAUGUCGGAUUAGCUAGUUGGCGGGGUAAAGGCCCACCAAGGCGACGAUCCGUAGCUGGUCUGAGAGGAUGAUCAGCCACACUGGAACUGAGACACGGUCCAGACUCCUACGGGAGGCAGCAGUGGGGAAUAUUGCACAAUGGGCGCAAGCCUGAUCCAGCCAUACCGCGUGGGUGAGGAAGGCCUUCGGGUUGUAAAGCCCUUUUGUUGGGAAAGAAAAGCAGCAGGUUAAUACCCCGCUGUUCUGACGGUACCCAAAGAAUAAGCACCGGCUAACUUCGUG